CACGAAAGUGGACGUAUAGGGUGUGAUGCCUGCCCGGUGCUGGAAGGUUAAAUGAUGGGGUUAGCGUAAGCGAAGCUCUUGAUUGAAGCCCCAGUAAACGGCGGCCGUAACUAUAACGGUCCUAAGGUAGCGAAAUUCCUUGUCGGGUAAGUUCCGACCUGCACGAAUGGCAUAAUGAUGGCCACGCUGUCUCCAGCAGAGACUCAGUGAAAUCGAAAUCGCAGUGAAGAUGCUGUGUACCCGCGGCUAGACGGUAAGACCCCGUGAACCUUUACUACAGCUUUACAUUGAACUUUGACCUGACUUGUGCAGGAUAGGUGGGAGGCUAUGAAGCAGAUACGCCAGUAUUUGUGGAGUCAACCUUGAAAUACCACCCUGGUCAUGUUGGGGUUCUAACUUAGAUAUUCACAAUAUCGAGGACAAUGUAUGGUGGGUAGUUUGACUGGGGCGGUCUCCUCCUAAAGAGUAACGGAGGAGUACGAAGGUGCGCUCAGAACGGUCGGAAAUCGUUCAAAGAGUAUAAAGGCAAAAGCGCGCUUAACUGCGAGACCCACAAGUCGAGCAGGUACGAAAGUAGGUCUUAGUGAUCCGGUGGUUCUGUAUGGAAGGGCCAUCGCUCAACGGAUAAAAGGUACUCUGGGGAUAACAGGCUGAUACCGCCCAAGAGUUCAUAUCGACGGCGGUGUUUGGCACCUCGAUGUCGGCUCAUCUCAUCCUGGGGCUGAAGCAGGUCCCAAGGGUAUGGCUGUUCGCCAUUUAAAGAGGUACGCGAGCUGGGUUUAGAACGUCGUGAGACAGUUCGGUCCCUAUCUACCGUGGGCGUUGGAAAUUUGAGAGGAUCUGCUCCUAGUACGAGAG
This 858-nucleotide ribosomal RNA is filed under the name Moraxella catarrhalis. RNAcentral describes it as "bacterial LSU rRNA". It matches the Rfam family "Bacterial large subunit ribosomal RNA", at positions 1830 to 2689 of the family's 2925-position model. Lineage: Bacteria; Pseudomonadati; Pseudomonadota; Gammaproteobacteria; Moraxellales; Moraxellaceae. The record is from RNAcentral.